ACUUAUAUUCUGUAGCAAGGUUAACCGAAUAGGGGAGCCGAAGGGAAACCGAGUCUUAACUGGGCGUUAAGUUGCAGGGUAUAGACCCGAAACCCGGUGAUCUAGCCAUGGGCAGGUUGAAGGUUGGGUAACACUAACUGGAGGACCGAACCGACUAAUGUUGAAAAAUUAGCGGAUGACUUGUGGCUGGGGGUGAAAGGCCAAUCAAACCGGGAGAUAGCUGGUUCUCCCCGAAAGCUAUUUAGGUAGCGCCUCGUGAAUUCAUCUCCGGGGGUAGAGCACUGUUUCGGCAAGGGGGUCAUCCCGACUUACCAACCCGAUGCAAACUGCGAAUACCGGAGAAUGUUAUCACGGGAGACACACGGCGGGUGCUAACGUCCGUCGUGAAGAGGGAAACAACCCAGACCGCCAGCUAAGGUCCCAAAGUCAUGGUUAAGUGGGAAACGAUGUGGGAAGGCCCAGACAGCCAGGAUGUUGGCUUAGAAGCAGCCAUCAUUUAAAGAAAGCGUAAUAGCUCACUGGUCGAGUCGGCCUGCGCGGAAGAUGUAACGGGGCUAAACCAUG
Molecule: ribosomal RNA, 564 nt
Filed under: Escherichia coli
Lineage: Bacteria; Pseudomonadati; Pseudomonadota; Gammaproteobacteria; Enterobacterales; Enterobacteriaceae
Description: partial 23S ribosomal RNA
Rfam family: Bacterial large subunit ribosomal RNA
Source: RNAcentral